RNAcentral lists this ribosomal RNA (460 nucleotides) under uncultured bacterium. RNAcentral's name for it is "partial 16S ribosomal RNA". It matches the Rfam family "Bacterial small subunit ribosomal RNA", at positions 338 to 795 of the family's 1533-position model. The record is from RNAcentral.
CCUACGGGGGGCAGCAGUGAGGAAUAUUGGUCAAUGGGCGGGAGCCUGAACCAGCCAAGUCGCGUGAGGGAAGACGGUCCUACGGAUUGUAAACCUCUUUUGCCGGGGAGCAACGGGGUACUUGCGAGGGCCAGUUGAGAGUACCUGGAGAAAAAGCAUCGGCUAACUCCGUGCCAGCAGCCGCGGUAAUACGGAGGUUGCGAGCGUUAUCCGGAUUUAUUGGGUUUAAAGGGUGCGUAGGCGGGCUGUUAAGUCAGCGGUAAAAUGUCGGGGCUCAACCCCGGCCUGCCGUUGAAACUGGCGGCCUCGAGUGGGCGAGAGGUAUGCGGAAUGCGUGGUGUAGCGGUGAAAUGCAUAGAUAUCACGCAGAACUCUGAUUGCGAAGGCAGCAUACCGGCGCCCGACUGACGCUGAGGCACGAAAGCGUGGGUAUCGAACAGGAUUAGAUACCCUAGUAGUC